RNAcentral lists this ribosomal RNA (492 nucleotides) under Salmonella enterica. RNAcentral describes it as "partial 23S ribosomal RNA". It matches the Rfam family "Bacterial large subunit ribosomal RNA", at positions 30 to 561 of the family's 2925-position model. Lineage: Bacteria; Pseudomonadati; Pseudomonadota; Gammaproteobacteria; Enterobacterales; Enterobacteriaceae. The record is from RNAcentral.
GCCCUGGCAGUCAGAGGCGAUGAAGGGCGUGCUAAUCUGCGAUAAGCGCCGGUAAGGUGAUAUGAACCGUUAUAACCGGCGAUACCCGAAUGGGGAAACCCAGUGUGACUCGUCACACUAUCAUUAACUGAAUCCAUAGGUUAAUGAGGCGAACCGGGGGAACUGAAACAUCUAAGUACCCCGAGGAAAAGAAAUCAACCGAGAUUCCCCCAGUAGCGGCGAGCGAACGGGGAGGAGCCCAGAGCCUGAAUCAGCAUGUGUGUUAGUGGAAGCGUCUGGAAAGGCGCGCGAUACAGGGUGACAGCCCCGUACACAAAAGCGCAUGUGCUGUGAGCUCGAUGAGUAGGGCGGGACACGUGGUAUCCUGUCUGAAUAUGGGGGGACCAUCCUCCAAGGCUAAAUACUCCUGACUGACCGAUAGUGAACCAGUACCGUGAGGGAAAGGCGAAAAGAACCCCGGCGAGGGGAGUGAAAAAGAACCUGAAACCGUGU